This is a long non-coding RNA of Mastomys coucha (southern multimammate mouse), 1114 nucleotides long. RefSeq lists it as uncharacterized. The transcript has 2 exons. Lineage: Eukaryota; Metazoa; Chordata; Mammalia; Rodentia; Muridae. The record is from RefSeq and is a predicted model, not a curated record.
AAGAGAAAGUGAAAGUGGCAGUCCCGGAAGUGCUGCACGCCGAACGGAAAACUGUCCCCUCACCCGAGACUGUGCAGGGUCACUAGCCGGGGCAGGCCUCUAGACUGUUCCUGGCACUCACGCUCCACAAAUGGUUUGGGCAAACCAGAGACACUCGGCCUAGGUGCCCAUGAUCUCCCCUUGGCGGAUCACUCCAGACAGCUCCCAGCUCUUGGAGGGCGGAGCCUAGAGGCGGGCCCUAGAGGGCGAGGUAUAGGAUUGGCUUCUCUGCCCUCUGUUGGUUUACACUCCUUAAGAGCCGUCCUUGCGAGCACCGCGUCCACACGUGGGUAGCCUGCAGGCUCACCGAGUUGCCAACACACCUAAUGGUAGCCCGGGUUCUUGGCCUUUUUGCACUUGAGGAAACAGAAGGUUUGAAGGUUUAUGACUUGCCUAAAGCCACAUUGCGGGAGUUUGAAUCCAAACGUGGCAGUCUCGGGGAUCCACACGACUCUUCUAUUCGCCUAGCAAAGGCUGGGAGUUCUUUUCAGCUUCCACUCUAUUUACAUUUUCUCCCACUUUCAUCUCACAGAUUAGCAGAUCCUCUGGGCAUCCCGCCCCCUGCAGAAUAGAUAACAGAAAUACAUCCUCUCCUGUGCGCAGGUCUCAUCCUGCCAGUUCUCCUGUGUCCUCUCAACUGCCCUAGAGGAUCCAGCUAAAAUAUAGGUGAAGGGACAAGGGAGACAUCUCAAUGGGUUAAGUACUUGCUUGCUGUGCAUGUAUGAGGACCUGAAUUCACUACUCCCCCAGGGGGUGGGUGCUUAUAACCCCCUCUGAGGAGGUAAACUGGAAGAUCCCUGGGGUUCUCUAGACAACCAGGAUAGCCUAAUCAGUAAAGUCCCGGCGGAGACCCUGUCUCAACAAGCUACACAUUUUCUGCUUCUCCCAUCAAGAAGAAAUCCACCUUCCUGCCUAUCAAACUAAGCCGUGCGACAGCUUGUGCAUCAGACUUGCCCUUUCUUGUUGUGUUUUGAAGCCCAGAGACCACCGCAUGGCAUGAUGGAUGAGCCUCUGAAGGAUGCAGCAGGAUUGAUCAGCAACUGGACAGAGCCCAUAUAAAGUUUUGGCUGCAGAA